RNAcentral lists this ribosomal RNA (465 nucleotides) under Vreelandella stevensii. RNAcentral's name for it is "partial 16S ribosomal RNA". It matches the Rfam family "Bacterial small subunit ribosomal RNA", at positions 338 to 795 of the family's 1533-position model. The record is from RNAcentral. Lineage: Bacteria; Pseudomonadati; Pseudomonadota; Gammaproteobacteria; Oceanospirillales; Halomonadaceae.
CCUACGGGCGGCUGCAGUGGGGAAUAUUGGACAAUGGGGGCAACCCUGAUCCAGCCAUGCCGCGUGUGUGAAGAAGGCCCUCGGGUUGUAAAGCACUUUCAGUGAGGAAGAACGCCUGGUGGUUAAUACCCAUCAGGAAAGACAUCACUCACAGAAGAAGCACCGGCUAACUCCGUGCCAGCAGCCGCGGUAAUACGGAGGGUGCGAGCGUUAAUCGGAAUUACUGGGCGUAAAGCGCGCGUAGGUGGCUUGAUAAGCCGGUUGUGAAAGCCCCGGGCUCAACCUGGGAACGGCAUCCGGAACUGUCAAGCUAGAGUGCAGGAGAGGAAGGUAGAAUUCCCGGUGUAGGGGUGAAAUGCGUAGAGAUCGGGAGGAAUACCAGUGGCGAAGGCGGCCUUCUGGACUGACACUGACACUGAGGUGCGAAAGCGUGGGUAGCAAACAGGAUUAGAUACCCGAGUAGUC